RNAcentral lists this ribosomal RNA (253 nucleotides) under uncultured bacterium. Its description in RNAcentral is "partial 16S ribosomal RNA". It matches the Rfam family "Bacterial small subunit ribosomal RNA", at positions 524 to 776 of the family's 1533-position model. The record is from RNAcentral.
GACAGGGGUCUCAAGCGUUAAUCGGAAUUACUGGGCGUAAAGCGUGCGUAGACGGUUAUUUAAGUCGGAUGUGAAAGCCCCGGGCUCAACCUGGGAAUUGCAUUCGAGACUGAAUAGCUAGGGUGCGGUAGAGGGAAGCGGAAUUUCCGGUGUAGCGGUGAAAUGCGUAGAUAUCGGAAGGAACAUCAGUGGCGAAAGCGGCUUCCUGGACCAGCACCGACGUUCAGGCACGAAAGCGUGGGGAGCAAACAGG